Molecule: long non-coding RNA, 368 nt
Organism: Columba livia (rock pigeon)
Lineage: Eukaryota; Metazoa; Chordata; Aves; Columbiformes; Columbidae
Exons: 3
Source: RefSeq, a predicted model, not a curated record
GGUGACAAUGCACAGAGCUCGGGUGGCCUCUGCAUCCAGUGGGUACUUACCCCUGGUUGUCCGGCUGCCCGAAAGCGAAGCUGGUGAAGGAGGACGGCUCACCCACAUCCCAGCGGAAGGAAGCCUUGGACGUCUUGUAGUAGGUGUCAGCCUCAGGGGACACCAUGAAGCAGUCACCGUCUAUCCGCACGUCGCAGGUGUGGAAAGGGAACCGAAUCUUUGCUGGGGACACAGAUCGCUGCCAGGACCCCAAAGCAGGCACAGGCAGGUGCAGACUCACUGCCGCACUCGGCGCCGCCGUAGCCCACAUCGCAGAGGCAGGAACACUCCUCCUUCCUGAACUUCCCGUGGAGGCACUGCCCGCUGCA